RNAcentral lists this ribosomal RNA (869 nucleotides) under uncultured Bacillota bacterium. RNAcentral describes it as "bacterial SSU rRNA". It matches the Rfam family "Bacterial small subunit ribosomal RNA", at positions 58 to 928 of the family's 1533-position model. The record is from RNAcentral. Lineage: Bacteria; Bacillati; Bacillota.
CAAGUCGAGUGCGCGUCUGUAGCAAUACAGAUGGCGCACGGCGCACGGGUGAGUAACACGUGGGCAACCUGCCCUUUGGAUGGGGGAUAACUCGCCGAAAGGCGAGCUAAUACCGCAUGAUAUUCAGAAAACUUCGGUUUUUUGACUCAAAGCCCGCAAGGGCGUCUAAGGAGGGGCCCGCGCCCGAUUAGCUAGUUGGUGAGGUAACGGCUCACCAAGGCUUUGAUCGGUAGCCGGUCUGAGAGGAUGGCCGGCCACACUGGAACUGAGACACGGUCCAGACUCCUACGGGAGGCAGCAGUGGGGAAUAUUGCGCAAUGGGCGAAAGCCUGACGCAGCGACGCCGCGUGGGGGAUGAAGCUUUUCGGAGUGUAAACCCCUUUCGACCCGGACGAAUGACCCGCAAGGGUUUGACGGUACGGGUAUAAGAAGCCCCGGCUAACUACGUGCCAGCAGCCGCGGUAAUACGUAGGGGGCCAGCGUUGCUCGGAAUUACUGGGCGUAAAGGGUUCGUAGGUGGUGCGGCAAGUUGGGAGUGAAAUCUCUGGGCUUAACUCAGAGGCUGCUUUCAAAACUGCCGCGCUCGAGUGCGAGAGAGGUCAGUGGAAUUGCAGGUGUAGCGGUGAAAUGCGUAGAUAUCUGCAGGAACACCCGUGGCGAAGGCGGCUGACUGGAUCGCAACUGACACUGAGGAACGAAAGCUAGGGGAGCAAACAGGAUUAGAUACCCUGGUAGUCCUAGCCCUAAACCAUCGGAACUUGGGGUGGCCCGCGUAGGCGGGUCGUCCCGUAGCUAACGCGUUAAGUUCCGCGCCUGGGGAGUACGGUCGCAAGACUGAAACUCAAAGGAAUUGACGGGGGCCCGCACAA